RNAcentral lists this ribosomal RNA (164 nucleotides) under Triticum turgidum subsp. dicoccum. Its description in RNAcentral is "Triticum dicoccon 5.8S ribosomal RNA". It matches the Rfam family "5.8S ribosomal RNA". Rfam says of the family: 5.8S ribosomal RNA (5.8S rRNA) is a component of the large subunit of the eukaryotic ribosome. It is transcribed by RNA polymerase I as part of the 45S precursor that also contains 18S and 28S rRNA. Functionally, it is thought that 5.8S rRNA may be involved in ribosome translocation. The record is from RNAcentral. Lineage: Eukaryota; Viridiplantae; Streptophyta; Magnoliopsida; Poales; Poaceae.
CACACGACUCUCGGCAACGGAUAUCUCGGCUCUCGCAUCGAUGAAGAACGUAGCGAAAUGCGAUACCUGGUGUGAAUUGCAGAAUCCCGCGAACCAUCGAGUCUUUGAACGCAAGUUGCGCCCGAGGCCACUCGGCCGAGGGCACGCCUGCCUGGGUGUCACGC